This 440-nucleotide ribosomal RNA is filed under the name uncultured bacterium. Its description in RNAcentral is "partial 16S ribosomal RNA". It matches the Rfam family "Bacterial small subunit ribosomal RNA", at positions 338 to 795 of the family's 1533-position model. The record is from RNAcentral.
CCUACGGGUGGCAGCAGUAGGGAAUAUUGCUCAAUGGGGGAAACCCUGAAGCAGCAACGCCGCGUGGAGGAUGAAGGUUUUCGGAUUGUAAAACCCUUUUGUUAGAGAAGAUAAUGACGGUAUGUAACGAAUAAGCACCGGCUAACACCGUGCCAGCAGCCGAGGGAAUACGGAGGGUGCGAGCGUUAGUCGGAAUCACUGGGCGUAAAGAGCGCGGAGGCGGGAUAGCAAGUCAGAUGUGAAAUCCUAUGGCUUAACCAUAGAACUGCAUUUGAAACUGUUAUUCUAGAGUAUGGGAGAGGUAGGUGGAAUUCGUGGUGUAGCGGUAAAAUGCGUAGAGAUCGAGAGGAAUACUCAUUGCGAAGGCGACCUGCUGGAACAUAACUGACGCUGAUGCGCGAAAGCGUGGGGAGCAAACAGGAUUAGAUACCCCUGUAGUC